Molecule: ribosomal RNA, 253 nt
Filed under: uncultured bacterium
Lineage: Bacteria
Description: partial 16S ribosomal RNA
Rfam family: Bacterial small subunit ribosomal RNA
Source: RNAcentral
UACGUAGGGUGCGAGCGUUAAUCGGAAUUACUGGGCGUAAAGCGUGCGCAGGCGGCGCGUUAAGACAGGUGUGAAAGCCCCGAGCUUAACUUGGGAAUUGCGCUUGUGACUGGCGAGCUGGAGUGUGGCAGAGGAGGGUGGAAUUCCGCGUGUAGCAGUGAAAUGCGUAGAGAUGCGGAGGAACACCGAUGGCGAAGGCAGCCCUCUGGGCUAACACUGACGCUCAGGCACGAAAGCGUGGGGAGCAAACAGG